UUGACAUCACCGCCGACGUUUGUCAUUUGCCGGUUGUUUGUUUGUUAUUUUAUCAUAUACAAUGUUGAUUCAACUCCAAUGUGAGCUAAUGGUGGAAUUUAUGCAAAAAUUGGAAUAUUUGUGGGACCAGUCCAAUAUUACUGGGAGCAGUGGGCCUACUGUAUUCCUACCACACCACUCACUGUUCCUCACGAAGUCUACCCUUCGCCAGCGCCUCCACCAACACCACCGAUCCUCCAUCCGAGGAAGAUAGCUGGAAUCCUCCACCAGUGAAAAAACCUAAAGCGAGUUUGAUUAAAAUGUGUAUAGAGAAUGACAAGAAUGCUAUGCUAAGGAGCGUGAGAAAGCGUCUCCCCUAAUAAAAUGGAAUUAAAUUAAUUAAAUAAAUUGUAAAAAUCCACUUUGCUGUGCCCGACAGGGUCCAUAAUUGAUUCUAUGUUUAACAUACCAACUGUUUUUAUGUACACAUUAUGGCAUGCAAUAAAGUAUUGAGUAUUGAGAAA
Molecule: long non-coding RNA, 503 nt
Organism: Spodoptera frugiperda (fall armyworm)
Lineage: Eukaryota; Metazoa; Arthropoda; Insecta; Lepidoptera; Noctuidae
Exons: 2
Source: RefSeq, a predicted model, not a curated record